UAAGGAAUAUUGGUCAAUGGGGGCAACCCUGAACCAGCCAUGCCGCGUGCAGGAAGACAGCCCUAUGGGUCGUAAACUGCUUUUGUACGGGAACAAACCUCUCCUCGUGAGGAGAGCUGAGCGUACCGUAAGAAUAAGGAUCGGCUAACUCCGUGCCAGCAGCCGCGGUAAUACGGAGGAUCCGAGCGUUAUCCGGAUUUAUUGGGUUUAAAGGGAGCGUAGGCGGCCCGUUAAGUCAGGGGUGAAAGACGGUGGCUCAACCAUCGCAGUGCCUUUGAUACUGACGGGCUUGAAUACACUUGAGGUAGGCGGAAUGUGACAAGUAGCGGUGAAAUGCAUAGAUAUGUCACAGAACACCGAUUGCGAAGGCAGCUUACUAAAGUGUGAUUGACGCUGAGGCUCGAAAGCGUGGGGAUCAAACA
RNAcentral lists this ribosomal RNA (422 nucleotides) under uncultured Pedobacter sp. RNAcentral describes it as "bacterial SSU rRNA". It matches the Rfam family "Bacterial small subunit ribosomal RNA", at positions 355 to 774 of the family's 1533-position model. The record is from RNAcentral. Lineage: Bacteria; Pseudomonadati; Bacteroidota; Sphingobacteriia; Sphingobacteriales; Sphingobacteriaceae.